CCUGAGAAACCCAAAAGAUCGAAAGGGGAGAUUCAUCGUCAGCUCGUUUUGUAUAUACAUAGGUUAUGAUGCGAGUUACCAUUUGUGUGGUAUUGCUCGUACGUACUUGUGCAUUUAUUUGCAAAAUAUGGUCGGCGUGCACUUCUCCCCUAGUAGAACAUCGCGACCCGUUGGAUGUCGGUUUACGUGCCAAGGGCAAAGCCUUUAAUUUUUCUAUAAUCUUAAAGAUCCUUGGUGUAAAUUGACCGGCAGUCCGGCGGUACUCGUAUGGUAUUUAGCCGCAAUUUAAUUUGCGUCCAUAGCCGUCGCAAGUGAGGCUAGUUUUUUGCAGUACGGACUUUGAGCCGUCGCGAAAAUUGGCCAGCUGUUGGCUGUACGGAAAACUCGGACAGGCUAAUAAAUCUACCGGUCGGCGAUGCUACUGCUUUGGGUACUUUCAGGACCCGUCUUGAAACACGGACCAAGGAGUCUAACAUGUACGCGAGUUAUUGGGAUAUUUUGUAAAUUAAACCUAAAAGCGCAAUGAAAGUAAAGGUCGGCCUUGCGUCGACUAAGGGAGGAUAAGUUGUGUUGAGAUACAACUUCGCACUCCCGGGGCGUCUCAUUCUCAUUAUGCGAGGAGGCGCACCUAG
Molecule: ribosomal RNA, 632 nt
Filed under: Gymnobracon fasciatus
Lineage: Eukaryota; Metazoa; Arthropoda; Insecta; Hymenoptera; Braconidae
Description: eukaryotic LSU rRNA
Rfam family: Eukaryotic large subunit ribosomal RNA
Source: RNAcentral